This 349-nucleotide ribosomal RNA is filed under the name Klebsiella pneumoniae subsp. pneumoniae. RNAcentral describes it as "bacterial SSU rRNA". It matches the Rfam family "Bacterial small subunit ribosomal RNA", at positions 1 to 344 of the family's 1533-position model. Lineage: Bacteria; Pseudomonadati; Pseudomonadota; Gammaproteobacteria; Enterobacterales; Enterobacteriaceae. The record is from RNAcentral.
ACUUAAAUUGAAGAGUUUGAUCAUGGCUCAGAUUGAACGCUGGCGGCAGGCCUAACACAUGCAAGUCGAGCGGUAGCACAGAGAGCUUGCUCUCGGGUGACGAGCGGCGGACGGGUGAGUAAUGUCUGGGAAACUGCCUGAUGGAGGGGGAUAACUACUGGAAACGGUAGCUAAUACCGCAUAAUGUCGCAAGACCAAAGUGGGGGACCUUCGGGCCUCAUGCCAUCAGAUGUGCCCAGAUGGGAUUAGCUAGUAGGUGGGGUAACGGCUCACCUAGGCGACGAUCCCUAGCUGGUCUGAGAGGAUGACCAGCCACACUGGAACUGAGACACGGUCCAGACUCCUACGG